AUUGAGCGCUGGCGGCAUGCUUUACACAUGCAAGUCGAACGGCAGCGCGGGCUUCGGCCUGGCGGCGAGUGGCGAACGGGUGAGUAAUGCAUCGGAACGUGCCCAGUAGUGGGGGAUAGCCCGGCGAAAGCCGGAUUAAUACCGCAUACGACCUGAGGGUGAAAGCGGGGGACCGAAAGGCCUCGCGCUAUUGGAGCGGCCGAUGUCGGAUUAGCUAGUUGGUGGGGUAAAGGCUUACCAAGGCGACGAUCCGUAGCUGGUCUGAGAGGACGACCAGCCACACUGGGACUGAGACACGGCCCAGACUCCUACGGGAGGCAGCAGUGGGGAAUUUUGGACAAAGGGGGCAACCCUGAUCCAGCCAUGCCGCGUGCGGGAAGAAGGCCUUCGGGUUGUAAACCGCUUUUGUUCGGGAAGAAAUCCUCUGGGCUAAUACCCCGGGGGGAUGACGGUACCGGAAGAAUAAGCACCGGCUAACUACGUG
This 484-nucleotide ribosomal RNA is filed under the name uncultured bacterium. RNAcentral describes it as "partial 16S ribosomal RNA". It matches the Rfam family "Bacterial small subunit ribosomal RNA", at positions 28 to 507 of the family's 1533-position model. The record is from RNAcentral.